AGAGUUUGAUCCUGGCUCAGGAUGAACGCUGGCGGUCUGCUUAACACAUGCAAGUCGAACGGAGUACUUCGGUACUUAGUGGCGGACGGGUGAGUAACGCGUGAGGAUCUGCCCUCAGGAGGGGGACAACGACUGGAAACGGUCGCUAAUACCCCAUAUGCCGAGAGGUGAAAUGUUUUUUCGCCUGAGGAUGAGCUCGCGUCAGAUUAGCUAGUUGGUGGGGUAACGGCCUACCAAGGCGACGAUCUGUAGCUGGUCUGAGAGGAUGAUCAGCCACACUGGGACUGAGACACGGCCCAGACUCCUACGGGAGGCAGCAGUGGGGAAUUUUCCGCAAUGGGCGAAAGCCUGACGGAGCAAGACCGCGUGAGGGAUGACGGCCUAAUGGUUGUAAACCUCUUUUCUCUGGGAAGAUAAUGACGGUACCAGAGGAAUAAGCCUCGGCUAACUCCGUGCCAGCAGCCGCGGUGAUACGGAGGAGGCAAGCGUUAUCCGGAAUUAUUGGGCGUAAAGCGUCCGUAGGUGGUUAAUCAAGUCAGCUGUUAAAGAGCGGAGCUCAACUCCGUUAGAGCGGUUGAAACUGAUUGACUAGAGUUUGGUAGGGGUCGAGGGAAUUCCCAGUGUAGCGGUGAAAUGCGUAGAUACUGGGAAGAACACCGGUGGCGAAAGCGCUCGACUGGGCCUGAACUGACACUGAGGGACGAAAGCUAGGGGAGCGAAAGGGAUUAGAUACCCCUGUAGUCCUAGCCGUAAACGAUGGAUACUAGGUGUUGCUCGUUAUCGACCCGAGCCGUGCCGAAGC
RNAcentral lists this ribosomal RNA (802 nucleotides) under uncultured Antarctic cyanobacterium. RNAcentral's name for it is "bacterial SSU rRNA". It matches the Rfam family "Bacterial small subunit ribosomal RNA", at positions 8 to 852 of the family's 1533-position model. Lineage: Bacteria; Bacillati; Cyanobacteriota. The record is from RNAcentral.